AUUGAACGCUGGCGGCAUGCCUAACACAUGCAAGUCGAACGGGGUGUAGCAAUACAUCUAGUGGCGGACGGGUGAGGAAUACAUAGGAAUUUGCCCUUAAGUGGGGGAUAGUCCGGGGAAACUCGGUUUAAUACCGCAUGAUCUCGUGAGAGCAAAGCAGGGGACCGCAAGGCCUUGCGCUUUUGGAGAAGCCUAUGUCGGAUUAGCUAGUUGGUAGGGUAAUGGCCUACCAAGGCGACGAUCCGUAACUGGUCUGAGAGGGUGAUCAGUCACACCGGAACUGAGACACGGUCCGGACUCCUACGGGAGGCAGCAGUGGGGAAUAUUGGACAAUGGGCGCAAGCCUGAUCCAGCAAUGCCGCGUGUGUGAAGAAGGCC
This 378-nucleotide ribosomal RNA is filed under the name uncultured bacterium. RNAcentral describes it as "bacterial SSU rRNA". It matches the Rfam family "Bacterial small subunit ribosomal RNA", at positions 30 to 416 of the family's 1533-position model. The record is from RNAcentral.